AAAAGAAAGCAUAAAAUUAUAGUAAGUUCGUCCCUCUCCCACUUCAAUUUUUAGUCUGUUGUGUCGUCAUGCACGUCGAUCACCUUAAAGUAUAAAAAUAAAAAGGACGUGACAACUAGUCAGUAACACAACGACUGAACGACAACAAAUAAUUGAUUCUGAAUACACUGAAUGCCAUACAUUUCCUUUUUAAUUAUGUAAAUAGUUUUUCCAUAAAAUUGUUUAGAUAUGUGAAUUGUGAUGUGAGGUAAACAAAAAACUGAAUAUCCGUUGAAAAUGUCUUACAUUUUUUUUUUUUUUUUUGAAACACUUUGAAAAUGUCUUACAUAUGUAUUCAAAAUAAUACUUCACUAGAUUUUGAUCCGCGCUUUCAAGCGCGAGUUUAUUUUUAUUUUUUUUCAAUUGAAAAAUAUUUAGUAAAUGUCAUAUUUUCAUAUAUUUGUGUUUUAUUUUAUAAAAGAUUUAAAAAUUUUAUCUUUAUUUAUCGUAUUUCAUUUUAAAUAUUUAUUUAUGUUUAAAAAAUUAAAAUUUAUUUCUUUAAUGAAUUAAGUUGGUAUAACUCUGAUAAAUUAAUUUUAU
This 579-nucleotide long non-coding RNA is filed under the name Brassica rapa (field mustard). RNAcentral describes it as "long non-coding RNA (BRAP_LNC007154)". The record is from RNAcentral. Lineage: Eukaryota; Viridiplantae; Streptophyta; Magnoliopsida; Brassicales; Brassicaceae.